UAUUAUUAUUGAUUAUACGUAAGCUUUCACUUUAUACCCCUUUUUAUAUAUCCAUUAAUAAAGUUUUAAAAACAUAAUUAAAUGUUGUUUAUAUAUAUCCACUCAAUAGCAUUACGCAAUCCCGUCAAAUACUAAAACUAGCCAAACAUUUAACCAAAAACUAGUUAAGUAGCUACAUAUUUUUACAAAUAUUUCACUACUUUUUGAUUCCCUCCUUGCGUCUUACAUUAUUAUAUAAAUGCGCAAGUAUUACAUCCACUCAGGGUACUUUAGCGUCUUACAUUAUUAAAUAAAUGCGCAAGUAUUACACCUUUAUACAUAUGUAUGUCAAUAUACUAUAAAAUAGAAUUACCAUAUCUACGGUUUACCAACAAAACACAAGUAAAAAAGUUGCAAUUUAUUCAAAACACACUCUAAUUUUGAAUACAAAAAUGCUUUUCCUCUAAAAAAAUAGAGGAAAGCGUGAGGAAGGAUAAAACCUUUUAACUACGUGGAUAAAAAAAGUGAAUAACUUUUGUUAACUAAACUAUUCCAAAAAAAAAUUAUAUAAUGUAAAGAGGCAUAUAUAUAUAUCUUUAUCACUUAUCACUUAUGCUUUUACAAAAUAUGACAAAAAGUUACACUUUUUUAUUGCUCCAUAAGUUAAGGUAAGGUACAUUGAGUAACAAAAAUAAACAGUAAAAAUACCGACUUUCAAUUUAGCGAAAAAAAAAAUAAAUUAUGUAUUAUAACAUUAUAAUAGAACCUCUCAUAAAAUGCAGUUUUAAAAAACAUGCAGUUAUAUGUUAUAAUAUCAUAAUUUACUUUUUUUUUAGCUUAACUACUUGCUAUUUCUUUUUAUAGCUUACUAGUUUAUGCUUGCUACUCAACUCCUUCCUCGAGUAUAGAUUUUUCCUUGUUUGCACGUACAAAAAAUUGUAGGCGCCGAUAUGUGUUCAAUUUUUUUUUUUUUUUUUUUUUUUUUUUCCCAAAACUUUUUUUAUCAAUUCCGAUCAAUUUUUGCAUUUUUUUUUUUACCCAUUACACUUAGUGAAAAAAAAAAAAAAAAAAAACAUUUAUACAUAAGUAUAUGCUCAUUUUUUUUUUUUUUUUUUUUUUUUUUUUUUUUUUAUUUUUUUGUCAACGGUAAUAAUAUUGAAAGUUUUUAGUGCUAUUAACUUGUAGCAUUCACCAAAUAAAUGAAAAAAAAAAAAAACCUCA
Molecule: long non-coding RNA, 1200 nt
Filed under: Piliocolobus tephrosceles (Ugandan red Colobus)
Lineage: Eukaryota; Metazoa; Chordata; Mammalia; Primates; Cercopithecidae
Description: lncRNA (ENSPTEG00000008943.1)
Source: RNAcentral